GAGUGAUCUAGCUAAAGACUUAAAACAAGAGUGAGUCUUCCUGGAGCAAAGAAAAGCCGGUUGGGUCUUCCAAAGCUGUGAAGGGCACAUGUGCUCUUGUGCCUCUACUGGGCAAGACUACUGAGAACCAGACAGACACCAAGAACUGGAUUUUGGACAAUGAGAGUAGUAUUGGUCUGUGAUCAGUUCUGACGCCGCUACCAAGGGAGUCUGAUGCUGCUGAAGGCUGCCUUUGAGAGGGUGGCAUCAAGGAGCCUGAGGUUCAAGAGGCCCUUGAGCCGCAGCCCGGAUCGUUAAGGGUGCUGGGAUCCGCUCAGAACUUCUUUUCUGUGCCCUUCAGCAACUCCUCUGCCUCACAAACCAAUCCGAAAAGAGAAUGACUAUUAAACAAUGCCAGGAAAGCAGUUAACCAAUUGUAGGAAAACAUCACUAGAUUCUUACUUCAUGUCAAGGACAGAAAUAGAUCAAGAUGAACGAAAUAAUUGUGCCCACUAAUGAAGCCAGUAAGCAACUGAAACAGAAUUAAGCUGUUGUUUGUUUGAUCCUGUUAUGGAAAUGAACUUUCCAAGAAAAUAGAGGGAAACUUCAAAGGGAGGAUUGCUACCAUGGUAAUGUCAGGAAAGAAUAUUUAGAAAUGUGUCUAUGUCUAUGAAAAUAUCAACUUGUUUUUAAUAAGCAGAAUUACUGAAUACAUUUGGCAACAUA
Molecule: long non-coding RNA, 705 nt
Organism: Mesocricetus auratus (golden hamster)
Lineage: Eukaryota; Metazoa; Chordata; Mammalia; Rodentia; Cricetidae
Exons: 3
Source: RefSeq, a predicted model, not a curated record